UACGUAGGGGGCAAGCGUUGUCCGGAUUUAUUGGGCGUAAAGAGCGUGUAGGCGGCCAGGCAGGUCUGCUGUGAAAACUCGAGGCUCAACCUCGAGCUGUCGGUGGAAACCGUGUGGCUAGAGUCCGGAAGAGGAGAGUGGAAUUCCUGGUGUAGCGGUGAAAUGCGCAGAUAUCGGGAAGAACACCCGUGGCGAAGGCGGCUCUCUGGGACGGUACUGACGCUGAGACGCGAAAGCGUGGGGAGCGAACAGG
Molecule: ribosomal RNA, 253 nt
Filed under: uncultured bacterium
Lineage: Bacteria
Description: partial 16S ribosomal RNA
Rfam family: Bacterial small subunit ribosomal RNA
Source: RNAcentral